UCUGCGCUGAACCAAGGCUGCUCCAGGCUUCAUGUCUGUGUACUGACUGUCAUUCCGAAUGCCAUUUGCUUACUUUUAUUGUUUGCAUGAUUUGUUUUUUUUUCUCUCUGCACUUUGGGUGUUUGAUGGUCUUUUUUUAUGGAACACACACAAAUCGCUGGAGGAACUCAGCAGACCAGGCAGCAUCUAUGGAAAAGAGUAAGAGUACAGUCGACGUUUCGGGCUGAGACCCUUCAUCAGGACUGAAGAAGAAAAGGUAUUGCAGAGAGAAUUCUGACCAGGUGCAUCACGGACUGGUAUGGAGGCUCAAACGUACAGGAUUGCAGGAGGACUGUAGACUCAGCCAGCUCCACCAUGGGCAGAAGCCACCCAAUCAAGGUCAUCUUCAAAUGAGAUGACCAGUCAUGCCCUCUUUGCAUUGCUACCAUCGGGGAGGAGGUACAGGACUGAAGACCCACACUCAGGGAUUUACAGAUAGCUUCUUUCUCCCAUCAUCAAAACUUUGAAAGUGUGCUGCUGUCUCAAUGCAACACAUGUCAGAACAUGAUAAGACAGUGAUAAGACCUGAUUCUCGUUCUGCCUGACUCUGACCGUGGCCGGCGCAGUUAGCGUGGAGAGCAACUGCAUGUGAGAAAGGGGCUCACGGAUAACUUCUGCCUAAUGUGAAGCAGAGACAACCGACCAGUGUGAAUGGAUGUAGGUUCUUCUAUUUCUACACUCAGAACAACACUGGAGACCAUUAUCCCCUCGGGUCCAUUGUAGCAAUCUGUCAUUCCCAUGACCUCUCUCUUUAUUUCCCUGCAUCUGGAAACUCAUUCUCUCUCAGAGACUUGCCCACUAAUCCCCCUUUCAAACAGUUUGCCAUUAAACUCCCCUGCAGGGUGAUUUACAAUGACCGGUUGGACAUCAGGGUAUCUGGAGGAAUUUGGAGAGGUAUCAGACUAUCACAGAAUUGAGAAUGUACAGAUGGCACCCAGGGACAUCAGA
This is a long non-coding RNA of Mobula hypostoma (lesser devil ray), 987 nucleotides long. RefSeq lists it as uncharacterized. The record is from RefSeq and is a predicted model, not a curated record. NCBI's taxonomy places the organism in Eukaryota, Metazoa, Chordata, Chondrichthyes, Myliobatiformes, Myliobatidae. The transcript is spliced from 3 exons.